This 486-nucleotide ribosomal RNA is filed under the name uncultured bacterium. RNAcentral describes it as "partial 16S ribosomal RNA". It matches the Rfam family "Bacterial small subunit ribosomal RNA", at positions 30 to 507 of the family's 1533-position model. The record is from RNAcentral.
AUUGAACGCUGGCGGCAUGCCUUACACAUGCAAGUCGAACGGCAGCACGGGUGCUUGCCCCUGGUGGCGAGUGGCGAACGGGUGAGUAAUACAUCGGAACAUGUCCUGUAGUGGGGGAUAGCCCGGCGAAAGCCGGAUUAAUACCGCAUACGAUCUACGGAUGAAAGCGGGGGACCUUCGGGCCUCGCGCUAUAGGGUUGGCCGAUAGCUGAUUAGCUAGUUGGUGGGGUAAAGGCCUACCAAGGCGACGAUCAGUAGCUGGUCUGAGAGGACGACCAGCAACACUGGGACUGAGACACGGCCCAGACUCCUACGGGAGGCAGCAGUGGGGAAUUUUGGACAAUGGGCGAAAGCCUGAUCCAGCAAUGCCGCGUGUGUGAAGAAGGCCUUCGGGUUGUAAAGCACUUUUGUCCGGAAAGAAAUCCUUGGCUCUAAUACAGUCGGGGGAUGACGGUACCGGAAGAAUAAGCACCGGCUAACUACGUG